Molecule: ribosomal RNA, 328 nt
Filed under: uncultured bacterium
Lineage: Bacteria
Description: bacterial SSU rRNA
Rfam family: Bacterial small subunit ribosomal RNA
Source: RNAcentral
UGCGUAGGUGGUUAGGUAAGACCUGUGGGAAAGACCUGGGCUUAACCCAGGAAGGUCGCAGGUGACUGCCUGGCUAGAGGGCGGGAGAGGAGCGCGGAAUUCCCGGUGUAGCGGUGAAAUGCGUAGAGAUCGGGAGGAAGGCCGGUGGCGAAGGCGGCGCUCUGGAACGUUCCUGACACUGAGGCACGAAGGCGUGGGGAGCAAACAGGAUUAGAUACCCUGGUAGUCCACGCCCUAAACGAUGGGUACUAAGUGUCGGCGGGUUACCGCCGGUGCCGCACCUAACGGAGUAAGUACCCCGCCUGGGGAGUACGGCCGCAAGGUUGAA